This 163-nucleotide ribosomal RNA is filed under the name Cynoglottis chetikiana subsp. chetikiana. Its description in RNAcentral is "5.8S ribosomal RNA". It matches the Rfam family "5.8S ribosomal RNA". Rfam says of the family: 5.8S ribosomal RNA (5.8S rRNA) is a component of the large subunit of the eukaryotic ribosome. It is transcribed by RNA polymerase I as part of the 45S precursor that also contains 18S and 28S rRNA. The record is from RNAcentral. Lineage: Eukaryota; Viridiplantae; Streptophyta; Magnoliopsida; Boraginales; Boraginaceae.
CAACGACUCUCGGCAACGGAUAUCUCGGCUCUCGCAUCGAUGAAGAACGUAGCGAAAUGCGAUACUUGGUGUGAAUUGCAGAAUCCCGUGAACCAUCGAGUCUUUGAACGCAAGUUGCGCUUGAGGCCAUUAGGCUAAAGGCACGUCUGCCUGGGNGUCACAC